UUUUUUAAUUGAAAGCUGGUAUGAAUGGUUGGACGAAAUAUUAACUGUUUCAUAUAAAUUUUUAUUAGAAUUUUAUUUUUUAGUUAAAAAGCUAAAAUUUAUUUAAAAGACGAGAAGACCCUAUAAAUCUUUAUAUUUAAUAUUUUUAUAUUUUUGUAGAUUUAUUUUAUUAUAAUAAUUAAUAAUAUUUUAUUGGGGUGAUAUUAAAAUUUACAAAACUUUUAAUUUUAAAAAUCAUUAAUUUAUGAAUAUUUGAUCCAUUAUUAGUGAUUAAAAAUUUAAGUUACUUUAGGGAUAACAGCGUAAUUUUUUUGGAGAGUUCUUAUUAAUAAAAAAGAUUGC
This 342-nucleotide ribosomal RNA is filed under the name Gymnocheta viridis. Its description in RNAcentral is "partial 16S ribosomal RNA". The record is from RNAcentral. Lineage: Eukaryota; Metazoa; Arthropoda; Insecta; Diptera; Tachinidae.